RNAcentral lists this ribosomal RNA (731 nucleotides) under uncultured Abiotrophia sp. Its description in RNAcentral is "bacterial SSU rRNA". It matches the Rfam family "Bacterial small subunit ribosomal RNA", at positions 26 to 737 of the family's 1533-position model. The record is from RNAcentral. Lineage: Bacteria; Bacillati; Bacillota; Bacilli; Lactobacillales; Aerococcaceae.
CGACGAACGCUGGCGGCGUGCCUAAUACAUGCAAGUCGAACGAACCGCGACUAAGUGCUUGCACUAAGUCAAGGUGAGUGGCGAACGGGUGAGUAACACGUGGGUAACCUACCUCAUAUUGGGGGAUAACGGUCGGAAACGACUGCUAAUACCGCAUAGGACAUGGAAUCACAUGAUUCUGUGAGGAAAGGUGGCGCAAGCUAUCGCUAAGAGAUGGACCCGCGGUGCAUUAGCUAGUUGGUAGGGUAAAGGCCUACCAAGGCGAUGAUGCAUAGCCGACCUGAGAGGGUGAUCGGCCACAUUGGGACUGACACACGGCCCAAACUCCUACGGGAGGCAGCAGUAGGGAAUCUUCCGCAAUGGACGCAAGUCUGACGGAGCAACGCCUCGUGAGUGAAGAAGGUCUUCGGAUCGUAAAGCUCUGUUGUUAGAGAAGAACAGCGCAUAGAGUAACUGUUAUGCGUGUGACGGUAUCUAACCAGAAAGCCACGGCUAACUACGUGCCAGCAGCCGCGGUAAUACGUAGUGGCGAGCGUUGUCCGGAUUUAUUGGGCGUAAAGGGAGUGUAGGCGGUCUUUUAAGUCUGAUGUGAAAGCCCACGGCUCAACCGUGGAGGGUCAUUGGAAACUGGUAGACUUGAGUGCGGAAGAAGAGAGCGGAAUUCCAUGUGUAGCGGUGAAAUGCGUAGAUAUAUGGAGGAACACCAGUGGCGAGGCGGCUCUCUGGUCUGU